UUGCUUCUCUUGAGAGCGGCGGACGGGUGAGUAAUGCCUAGGAAUCUGCCUGGUAGUGGGGGAUAACGUUCGGAAACGGACGCUAAUACCGCAUACGUCCUACGGGAGAAAGCAGGGGACCUUCGGGCCUUGCGCUAUCAGAUGAGCCUAGGUCGGAUUAGCUAGUUGGUGGGGUAAUGGCUCACCAAGGCGACGAUCCGUAACUGGUCUGAGAGGGUGAUCAGUCACACUGGAACUGAGACACGGUCCAGACUCCUACGGGAGGCAGCAGUGGGGAAUAUUGGACAAUGGGCGAAAGCCUGACCCAGCCAUGCCGCGUGUGUGAAGAAGGUCUUCGGAUUGUAAAGCACUUUAAGUUGGGAGGAAGGGUUGUAGAUUAAUACUCUGCAAUUUUGACGUUACCGACAGAAUAAGCACCGGCUAACUCUGUGCCAGCAGCCGCGGUAAUACAGAGGGUGCAAGCGUUAAUCGGAAUUACUGGGCGUAAAGCGCGCGUAGGUGGUUUGUUAAGUUGGAUGUGAAAUCCCCGGGCUCAACCUGGGAACUGCAUUCAAAACUGACUGACUAGAGUAUGGUAGAGGGUGGUGGAAUUUCCUGUGUAGCGGUGAAAUGCGUA
RNAcentral lists this ribosomal RNA (616 nucleotides) under uncultured bacterium. RNAcentral describes it as "bacterial SSU rRNA". It matches the Rfam family "Bacterial small subunit ribosomal RNA", at positions 80 to 692 of the family's 1533-position model. The record is from RNAcentral.